Molecule: long non-coding RNA, 272 nt
Filed under: Pan troglodytes (chimpanzee)
Lineage: Eukaryota; Metazoa; Chordata; Mammalia; Primates; Hominidae
Description: long non-coding RNA NONPTRT003670
Source: RNAcentral
UAAUUAUGAUCUAAUCAACUAUGGCCAUGUUGGGUACAGGUAAUUGGGCUUUCCUGGUCCCAAGUUUUGAAGUUCAAGAAAAGCUGCAAUUAGUUCACAGUUUGUUCUGAUCUAGUAAAUGCCACUGAGCCCACUGGACCCAGAAUAGGUAGGUUUUGUGGUGCGUGGGUGGCAGGGGUGAGGAGACAGCAGGAACAGGAAAAUUCUAAAACUUGGAGUAAUUAUGAAUCAUGAUGGAGGUAGAGAGAAGAGAGACCUAAAAUUCCAAGUAG